This 253-nucleotide ribosomal RNA is filed under the name uncultured bacterium. RNAcentral's name for it is "partial 16S ribosomal RNA". It matches the Rfam family "Bacterial small subunit ribosomal RNA", at positions 524 to 776 of the family's 1533-position model. The record is from RNAcentral.
UACGUAGGUGGCAAGCGUUAUCCGGAAUUAUUGGGCGUAAAGAGCGCGCAGGUGGUUAAUUAAGUCUGAUGUGAAAGCCCACGGCUUAACCGUGGAGGGUCAUUGGAAACUGGUUGACUUGGGUGCAGAAGAGGGAAGUGGAAUUCCAUGUGUAGCGGUGAAAUGCGUAGAGAUAUGGAGGAACACCAGUGGCGAAGGCGGCUUCCUGGUCUGCAACUGACACUGAGGCGCGAAAGCGUGGGGAGCAAAUAGG